AGUGAACGCUGGCGGUAGGCCUAACACAUGCCAGUCGAACGGCAGCACAGUAAGAGCUUGCUCUUACGGGUGGCGAGUGGCGGACGGGUGAGGAAUACAUCGGAAUCUACUUUUUCGUGGGGGAUAACGUAGGGAAACUUACGCUAAUACCGCAUACGACCUACGGGUGAAAGCAGGGGAUCUUCGGACCUUGCGCGAUUGAAUGAGCCGAUGUCGGAUUAGCUAGUUGGCGGGGGAAAGGCCCACCAAGGCGACGAUCCGUAGCUGGUCUGAGAGGAUGAUCAGCCACACUGGAACUGAGACACGGUCCAGACUCCUACGGGAGGAAGCAGUGGGGAAUAUUGGACAAUGGGCGCAAGCCUGAUCCAGCCAUACCGCGUGGGUGAAGAAGGCCUUCGGGUUGUAAAGCCCUUUUGUUGGGAAAGAAAAGCAGCAGGUUAAUACCCCGCUGUUCUGACGGUACCCAAAGAAUAAGCACCGGCUAACUUCGUG
This 492-nucleotide ribosomal RNA is filed under the name uncultured bacterium. RNAcentral's name for it is "partial 16S ribosomal RNA". It matches the Rfam family "Bacterial small subunit ribosomal RNA", at positions 29 to 507 of the family's 1533-position model. The record is from RNAcentral.